UAAUAACAACAAUAGUAAUAAUAACAAUAAUAGUAAUAAUAACAAUAAUAAUAACAAUAAUAAUAACAAUAAUAAUAAUAAUAAUAAAAUGAUAAUACCUAAUAGUGAUGGACAAAACAGUGAUAAUGAAUAUUCACCAACAAAAAGAACAAGAGCACCAAGAGGAAGAAGAAUGGAAAGUUUAACUGCUCGUGCAAGUGCAUUGCCACAAGUUGAGGGAGUUCGCUUCGAUCCACAUUCUUAUUCAUGGUUUGCUAAAUAUUUAGAACAUGAAGAUUCGAAAGAACCUAAAAUUUCAAAAUAUUUAUUAAAAAAAUGGGGAUUUAAUAAAGCACAUGCUUUAGCUGUACAUACUGUUAAUUGUGCAUACAAAGCUGUUCCUUUCACAGAUGAAGAAUUAAUGAAUAUUUUUAACAUAGAUGUAAACAAUGUUAUGAAUAACCAACGUAAUAGGAUGUUAAGUAUGUCACCAUAUAACGAUAUGUAUAAAGGAAUGCAUAAUGAAAAUAAUGGUAUGGGUAAUAAUAUGGGAAAUAAUAUGGGAAAUAAUAUGGGAAAUAAUAUGGGAAAUAAUAUGGUUAAUAAUAUGGGUAAUAAUAUGGGUAAUAAUAUGGGUGUUAAUAAUGUAUUUAAUAUGAAUAAUUACAAUAACAAUAUGAUGAAUGUAAAUAAUAAUAAUAAUGUUAUGAAGAAUAUGGAAAAAGAUAAUAACAAUAAUAACAAUAAUAGUAGUAAUUGUAGUGAUAGUAGUAAUACUAGUAGUAAUACUAGUGGUAAUAAUAAUAAUAAUAAUGUAACAAGUUCAGGUAAUAUGGGUAAUACUAUAAAUAACACUAAUAGCUACAAAGGUAAUACAAAUGAGAAAAAAAUGAUGAAAAAUAUGAACCAGAUGAAUGGCAUGGGUCAGAUGAAUGGCAUGGGUCAAAUGAAUGGCAUGGGUCAGAUGAAUGGCAUGGGUCAGAUGAAUAGUAUGGGUCAGAUGAAUAGUAUGGGUCAGAUGAAUAAUAUGAACCAGAUGAACAACGGUUAUAAUAUGAACACUAACGAAGGAAGAUUUAGUAAUAAAAAUUCGAACAUAAAAAGUGGAAAUAGUGACACAACUCCUGUUUCAAAUAAUAUUGAUAUGAGUAAGAUUAACAAUAGUUUAGGAAACAAAAAAAUGAAAUCAACAAAAAGAGUAUGACAAAUAUUUAUACAAUUACAAAUACUGGUAGUAAUAAUACUGGUAGUAAUAAUACUGGUAGUAAUAAUACUGGUAGUAAUAAUACUGGUAGUAAUAAAGGAACUGAUUGUAAAAGCGGUCGUAGCUUC
RNAcentral lists this long non-coding RNA (1311 nucleotides) under Piliocolobus tephrosceles (Ugandan red Colobus). Its description in RNAcentral is "lncRNA (ENSPTEG00000011965.1)". The record is from RNAcentral. Lineage: Eukaryota; Metazoa; Chordata; Mammalia; Primates; Cercopithecidae.